RNAcentral lists this ribosomal RNA (497 nucleotides) under uncultured bacterium. Its description in RNAcentral is "partial 16S ribosomal RNA". It matches the Rfam family "Bacterial small subunit ribosomal RNA", at positions 28 to 507 of the family's 1533-position model. The record is from RNAcentral.
GAUGAACGCUGGCGACGUGCCUAAUACAUGCAAGUCGAGCGAACAGACGAGGAGCUUGCUCCCCUGACGUUAGCGGCGGACGGGUGAGUAACACGUGGAUAACCUACCUAUAAGACUGGGAUAACUUCGGGAAACCGGAGCUAAUACCGGAUAAUAUAUUGAACCGCAUGGUUCAAUAGUGAAAGACGGUUUUGCUGUCACUUAUAGAUGGAUCCGCGCCGCAUUAGCUAGUUGGUAAGGUAACGGCUUACCAAGGCAACGAUGCGUAGCCGACCUGAGAGGGUGAUCGGCCACACUGGAACUGAGACACGGUCCAGACUCCUACGGGAGGCAGCAGUAGGGAAUCUUCCGCAAUGGGCGAAAGCCUGACGGAGCAACGCCGCGUGAGUGAUGAAGGUCUUCGGAUCGUAAAACUCUGUUAUUAGGGAAGAACAAAUGUGUAAGUAACUAUGCACGUCUUGACGGUACCUAAUCAGAAAGCCACGGCUAACUACGUG